CCCUAGAAAACAAACUUUAAUUUGUCAAGAGCAUGGUAUACAAAAUGCAUCUCUCAUAUCAGGUGUUAUCUAUCCUAAGUCUUUGGAUUAGAGGUUCUGUGGGGAUCAUCACAGUAGAUCAGUCUCCUGCUGUUGUCAAUGCCCAGCCUCAGGACACUGUGCAGAUCAUGUGUAAAGCUUCUGAAGUCAUUGACCAUGAUAUGGAGCUGUUUCAAGUCAAACCAGGGCAACCACCCAAACUCCUCAUUUACAGCAGCAAGUACAUGUUCUCUGGCACCCCGAGUCGUUUCAGUGGCUCCUACACUGGGACUGACUACACCUUCACCAUCAGUGGCGUUCAGAUAGAGGAUGAGGCCGUGUACUACUGCCAGCAGAGUGAAAACUUCCCGUACAUGUUUGGUCAAGGCACCAAACUGACUGUCAAAAGUCGUGCCGUCUCAUCUCCUGAAGUCAAGAUCCUUCAGCCGACCCAAAGGGUUGCCUCUCCCGGCGUUCCUGCCUCACUGGUCUGUGUGGUCAGCAAGUUUUACCCUGACCAAGUGACGGUGAACUGGUUGGUGGAUGGACAGGGGGCCAAAGGGGACAAACAGGACAGCCAGUCGGUGCGUGCGUCUGACAAGACCUACAGCAUGAGCAGCACUCUGUGGCUCCAGCCGACUGACUGGGAGGCGGCCAAGACCUUCACCUGCCAGGUCCAACACGAGAGCCAGCAGGACCCCACCACCGCCACGCUGGACAAGAGUCAGUGCAUGUAGCUAGAGGAGUCCGGGAGCUAGAGCAGCAACACACACACACACACACACACACACACACACACACACACAUACGCACCCGCGCACGCACACACACACACACACGCACAUGCACACACACACACUCACCCACGCACACACACACACACACACACACACACACACACACACACACACACACACUCAACCUGCUUCGAAACAUGCAGCUGCUAACGCUCAUUCUUUUACUUCUUCUUUUCAGUUCAUUUUAGCAAAUGUGUUUGCACUUGCUGUCUCAAAUGAUCAAUCUGUGCUAUGUGCCUUCAGAUACAGCUUCAAGUGCACUGUGCUGGCUUCUCACUAUUGCCUAAAAAUAAUAAACAUGUUAUUUUGAAUCCUU
This is a non-coding RNA of Alosa sapidissima (American shad), 1131 nucleotides long. Lineage: Eukaryota; Metazoa; Chordata; Actinopteri; Clupeiformes; Clupeidae. The record is from the annotation of a RefSeq genome assembly.